Molecule: ribosomal RNA, 468 nt
Filed under: uncultured bacterium
Lineage: Bacteria
Description: partial 16S ribosomal RNA
Rfam family: Bacterial small subunit ribosomal RNA
Source: RNAcentral
GAUGAACGCUGGCGGCGUGCUUAACACAUGCAAGUCGAACGGUGAAGGCGGAGCUUGCUCUGCUGGAUCAGUGGCGAACGGGUGAGUAACACGUGAGCAAUCUGCCCCUGACUCUGGGAUAAGCGCUGGAAACGGCGUCUAAUACUGGAUACGAGCUGCGAAGGCAUCUUCAGCAGCUGGAAAGAACUUCGGUCAGGGAUGAGCUCGCGGCCUAUCAGCUUGUUGGUGAGGUAACGGCUCACCAAGGCGUCGACGGGUAGCCGGCCUGAGAGGGUGACCGGCCACACUGGGACGGAGACACGGCCCAGACUCCUACGGGAGGCAGCAGUGGGGAAUAUUGCACAAUGGGCGAAAGCCUGAUGCAGCAACGCCGCGUGAGGGACGACGGCCUUCGGGUUGUAAACCUCUUUUAGCAGGGAAGAAGCGAAAGUGACGGUACCUGCAGAAAAAGCGCCGGCUAACUACGUG